Molecule: ribosomal RNA, 242 nt
Filed under: uncultured bacterium
Lineage: Bacteria
Description: partial 16S ribosomal RNA
Rfam family: Bacterial small subunit ribosomal RNA
Source: RNAcentral
CGAGGCGGAGCGAAUCCCCAAAAGGCGUCUCAGUUCGGAUUGCAGGCUGCAACUCGCCUGUAUGAAGUCGGAAUUGCUAGUAAUCGUGGAUCAGCAUGCCACGGUGAAUACGUUCCCGGGCCUUGUACACACCGCCCGUCACACCAUGAGAGGUCGGGAACACCCGAGGUCCGUAGCCUAACCGCAAGGAGGGCGCGGCCGAAGGUGGGUUCAUAAUUGGGGUGAAGUCGUAACAAGGUAGC